AUCUUCGUAUCCGUCCAUGAGUGCCGCGCUCUCCUCGUGCACCAACUCUGCGUUUAUAUCUUCUCAAACGUCCGGCGGUAUGUGCGGCGCCCAGGGCACGGGCGGGGCAUCUUCAGGGGUCAGUUCCACCCUCACUUCCGGCAACCCCGCAUCCUGGGCCUCCAAUCAGCUGCGUGGGGCAAUGGGCGGGCACGGAGGCUCCCCACCCACGGCCGCGGCCACUCUCACGCCCUCGUCCUUUACCCAUGGACUGGCCCAUCACGCCCGCACUCCCGCACAACACUUUCCUACGCCAGUCUAUUCUUGGUACUGAUUCUGCCCCGCUGUAGGUUGGACCGAUAAGGGUUAGCAGUGAACAUCUGAAACGGAAGAUAUGCACACAAAGGAGAUUUCUAACCGGUUGCCGUUGCUAUUACCUGAAUUAUCUGGACUUUGCAAAGCAUUCAGAUUCUCAAAGUGCUUAAGUUUUUAAAUUAGAAGAAGCAUUGAGGAAGGUAUCUUAGAAAUAAUAAGAUAACAUAGAGACCGUAUACUCUGCUUUAAACAAACCUCUCGUUUAGGUAAACUUCCUUAGUAUAUUAGAGUUCCAAAAGUCACUGGGAUUUCUGCAUUGUACAAAUACUACAUGAUUGCUACGCCUCGCGUAGACUUAGUAAACAUCGCUUUGAGAAAAUAAGAAUUGCACAAAAAGUACAAUUUUCUUGUACAUCUGAACAAGUUUGUAGAGAAACACAUCAUUUUGAUAGAAUCAUUAGUUCCAUUUGUAUAAUAUUUCGUAAACAGGCUUUAGUUUAUCACACGACCCUCUUAUUUUUUCAUUUAUUUACUUUCAAAUUCUCUCAGAUAUCAUGAACAUGACCUCUCGUCGCCCUCCAUUGUUGUCUCUGUUGAGUGGAGAAUUUUCAUGAUUUAUAUGUUUUUAUUUUCCCUCUGUGAGCUUCAGUUCUUUUCGCAAAAUGCAAAUAAAGCAAGUGAAUGAAACGAGUAAUAUUAGGAAAAAUGAACACGAUCUUCCUACGAGCGAGAAACAUAGCUGUGAAGCACGAACAAGGCAGGACAUGAAACGCAGUGCGAGCGGAGGCAGAUUCGUGGCCAAGAGCACGCAUGGCCCAGGGCGCGGAUCACGGCCAAGUGUGACCCAUGCCUACUGGGCCAAGCGAAGACCAAGGAAACGGGAAAAUUGUUUGGACGCAAACUAACACUCAUUUGAAGCCAGGAUCCAGCCUGAGUCUGCGCUUCAAAGAUUACAAAAUAGUGUGAGAGACGAAUCGCUGCGUUUUGGCUUAAGUGGUGAUAUUUUCAAUACGCCUGAAAAAUGUUACCAAUUUACCCUCAUUUCGGUGCGUUAGGAUGGUAGGACAGGGCGCAGGCUAACUAGGAAAAGGAAUGCAUAUACAACACAAUGAAAUGAGUGUCUUAGUAGUACCUUAAGAUGUGAUAUUGUUUCUCAUGUCUAAACAUUAAGAUUUUUAUAAGAUGAAUUGAUAACGCCUGCGCAAUAUAGUUUUAAUUUAUCUUUGUGAUCGAUAUUCCUGUGUCUCUUUUAUGUACCACAGUUUGUUAUUAGUUGAUGUAUAUAAAAUAUAAUCAAGACACAUAUGAGUUCCAUUCCUACGAAGUGCAUAAAAACCUUUGAUGUGUCGGUAGAUGUGUUCAUUGUACGUGGAACCAGUAG
Long non-coding RNA from Penaeus monodon (black tiger shrimp), 1675 nucleotides. RefSeq lists it as uncharacterized. The transcript has 4 exons. NCBI's taxonomy places the organism in Eukaryota, Metazoa, Arthropoda, Malacostraca, Decapoda, Penaeidae. The record is from RefSeq and is a predicted model, not a curated record.